GAUGAACGCUGGCGGUAUGCUUAACACAUGCAAGUCGAACGGACUCUUCGGAGUUAGUGGCGGACGGGUGAGUAACGCGUGAGAAUCUGGCUUUGGGUUCGGGACAACCACUGGAAACGGUGGCUAAUACCGGAUGUGCCGAGAGGUAAAAGAGAAAUUGCCUGAAGAUGAGCUCGCGUCUGAUUAGCUAGUUGGUGAGGUAAAGGCUCACCAAGGCAGCGAUCAGUAGCUGGUCUGAGAGGAUGACCAGCCACACUGGGACUGAGACACGGCCCAGACUCCUACGGGAGGCGGCAGUGGGGAAUUUUCCGCAAUGGGCGAAAGCCUGACGGAGCAAUACCGCGUGAGGGAAGAAGGCUCUUGGGUUGUAAACCUCUUUUCUUAGGGAAGAACAAUAUGACGGUACCUAAGGAAUCAGCAUCGGCUAACUCCGUG
This 435-nucleotide ribosomal RNA is filed under the name uncultured bacterium. Its description in RNAcentral is "partial 16S ribosomal RNA". It matches the Rfam family "Bacterial small subunit ribosomal RNA", at positions 28 to 507 of the family's 1533-position model. The record is from RNAcentral.